UUUCCGUAGGUGAACCUGCGGAAGGAUCAUUAUUGAAAUAAACCUGAUGGGUUGCUGCUGGCUUUCUAGGGAGCAUGUGCACACUUGUCAUCUUUAUAUCUCCACCUGUGCACCUUUUGUACAUCUGGAUAUCUUUCUGAAUGCCUGGCAUUCAGGUUUGAGGAUUGACUUUUGUCUUUCCUUACAUUUCCAGGCCUAUGUUUUCUUCAUAUACACCCUGUAUGUUAUAGAAUGUAAUAAUAAGGGCCUUUGUGCUACAAACCUAUACAACUUUCAGCAACGGAUCUCUUGGCUCUCGCAUCGAUGAAGAACGCAGCGAAAUGCGAUAAGUAAUGUGAAUUGCAGAAUUCAGUGAAUCAUCGAAUCUUUGAACGCACCUUGCGCUCCUUGGUAUUCCGAGGAGCAUGCCUGUUUGAGUGUCAUUAAUAUAUCAACCUCUUCAGGUUUUACUUGUCGAGUGUUUGGAUGUGGGGGUAUCUUUUGCUGGUCUCUUUUGAGGUCGGCUCCCCUAAAAUGCAUUAGCGGAACAAUUUGUUGACCCGUUCAUUGGUGUGAUAACUAUCUACGCUAUUGACGUUAAGCAGGUUCAGCUUCUAACAGUCCAUUGACUUGGACAAAUUUCAUUAAUGUGACCUCAAAUCAGGUAGGACUACCCGCUGAACUUAA
This 666-nucleotide ribosomal RNA is filed under the name Dermocybe sp. JFA6482. Its description in RNAcentral is "eukaryotic LSU rRNA". The stretch from base 269 to 422 matches the Rfam family "5.8S ribosomal RNA". Lineage: Eukaryota; Fungi; Basidiomycota; Agaricomycetes; Agaricales; Cortinariaceae. The record is from RNAcentral.